RNAcentral lists this ribosomal RNA (228 nucleotides) under uncultured bacterium. RNAcentral describes it as "partial 16S ribosomal RNA". It matches the Rfam family "Bacterial small subunit ribosomal RNA", at positions 14 to 230 of the family's 1533-position model. The record is from RNAcentral.
GUAUCAUGGCUCAGGAUGAACGCUAGCUACAGGCUUAACACAUGCAAGUCGAGGGGCGAGCGGGGAUUGAAGCUUGCUUCAAUUGCCGGCGACCGGCGCACGGGUGAGUAACGCGUAUCCAACCUUCCGUACACUCAGGGAUAGCCUUUCGAAAGAGAGAUUAAUACCUGAUGGUAUGAUGAGAUUGCAUGGUAUCAUCAUUAAAGAUUUAUACGGUGUACGAUGGGG